CACCUCUUGUCUUACAAGACGCUCUACCUACAUCAUACAUAUUUAUGGCCCUGACAGCAACUGCAGUUGCAUGAUAUACUCAGUGUGUGCAGGAUGAAGGAUGAAGGGGUGAAGUUGGACCUGUACAACUUUGACCAGCCGCAGCAUCAGGAGUGUCCAUACAUCCUCACCAGCCCACGUUCACUGCAGGCCUGUAGGACGCUCUCCAUCAAGCCUGUGGACCUACUACAGAAGAGCCGAGAUGAAUAUGAUGCCGCCCACGCCAACCAGCCCCUACAACAACGCCUCGUCGCCUACCACACCCAGGAGCGUCUCAGACUCAGUAUGUGGCUGUGGUGGUGGACUAGUUGUACGACCAUGGUCAGUACAAAUUGUACUAACCAUGGUCGUACAUAGUGGUAGUGUGUUACUGUUGCUGUGUGUGUGUGUGUGUUAUAGAUUGAAAGAUUGCAUGAAGUUGUGUCAUAAAGUCCUUGUUGAUGUUAAAUGCAAUUGGUCACCUAGACAUUAACAUUCCUCCUCGCUCUCUGUCUUCCUCUCCCUCUGUGUUUUUUUUUCAAUUAUCUGUCUCCCAAUCUUCCUAUCUAUAUUUAUCUUUAUAAAUGUUUGUCUCUGCCUUUCUAUCUUUUCUUAUCCCGUUCUCUCUGCCUGCCUCCUGUCCCCACUUCUCCGCUCUCUUGCCAUCAUCUUUCAUUUUAUCUCUCACUAUGCCUCUUAUCUCCAUUUUUACCUCGUUUUUUCCCUCUUUCGACUUUUUUUAUCGUUGUCUCCCUCCCC
Homarus americanus (American lobster) is the source of this 777-nucleotide long non-coding RNA. RefSeq lists it as uncharacterized. NCBI's taxonomy places the organism in Eukaryota, Metazoa, Arthropoda, Malacostraca, Decapoda, Nephropidae. The transcript has 3 exons. The record is from RefSeq and is a predicted model, not a curated record.